GCCAUCUCCAUCGUGGCCAUUCUCAAAGGCCAAUCUGUAACACCAACAUAAUCCUAUCUAGACCAAUCCAAACCCAACUUCUCCCCAAGCUGGAAAGAGAACUGUCUUUUUAAAAAUAUUUUCCUUUUUUCUCAAUCACAUGAAAAAACAAUUUUUUACAGUUUGGGACAAAUCCUCACCUACCCUCCAUCAUCUCCUCCCUCCAUGAGAUGGCAAGCAAUCUGAGAGAGACUUUCUGAGUCUUUCCAGAUUAGUCACUUUGUGAAAGAGAUCUCACACAAAAGAAAAGUGAAGGAAUGGGUGAAAUCUCAUAUGUCUCAGGCUGCAUUCAGACUGCAUCAGUUCUUUCUCUGGAAGCAGACAGCAUCUUUCAUCAUGAGCCCUUGAGGACUGUCUUCGAUCUCUGUAGAGCUACGAAUAGCUAAGCCAUUCAUAAAUGUUCAUCAUAUAUUAUUGAGGUUACUGUGUGCAAUGUUCUCCUGGUAUUUCUCACUUCAUUUUGCAUCAGUUCACAUGUAUUUCCAGGAGUUUCUUAAAUCAUCUUUCUCAUUAUUUCUUAUAGCACAAAAGGCUUCCAUUACAAUCAUCUAUCAAAAUGUGUUCAGCCAUUCCCCAGUGUAUGGACAUCCCCUCGGUUUCCACUUCUUUGCCACCACAAAAAGAGCUGCUAGAAAACUAUUUUUGUACAGGAAGGACCUUCAAAUCAUUACAUGGGCAAAGGUCCCAAGGCUGUGGAAGGAAACCCCACUAAGAAUCUGCUGGGCCAUUUAGCUACCUCCUCCUCCUCCUCCUCCUCCUCACUGACCUUUCAACAGCUCAAGGAGGCAGCUUACCAGUGAUGUUCUCCAUCUCUAGCAUUCUUGGUCACAAAGACUAAGACUAUCUCCCGACAAAAGGGUGGAAGGUUCUUCAGCAUGAAUGUAUCCUUCAUGUGACCAAAGCCCUCGGCUGGUAGCACAGAUUUGAAAACUGCCACAAAGGCUACCCACCCCCCAGCCACAGCACUGAAGGAGAUUCUAAUCAAUUCCAGACUGGAAACUUCCCCCAUCUGCCAACACACCUUCUGAUGACCUGGAAUUUGUCGAAAUUUGGGUCCAAAAAAGCAUCAAGUUAGAAAUGAAAUGAAGGAACCCAAACAGAUGAUCCAAUUCAUAUAAGUGAGAAACCAGGAUGGACUCUGCACACCACAUUGGUGUAAGAGGAGCAAGGAAAAGAAACCUGGGCGAAAGUGGUGUGUGCAUUAACAAUGAGGUCUUAGUGGAGUGCUUUUCAUUUUAGAUAUCUAUUUAUCUAUCUAACUCUUUAUCAUCUAUCAUCUCUCUGUUUGUUUCUACCCAUCUAAUGUGUGUAUAAGAAAUUUAUAUUUCCCAGUCGAUCCUUUUCUUUCACCCCAUGACAAAGAGCAAUAUAACAAAGAAUAAAAAUGAAGGGAAUAACA
RNAcentral lists this long non-coding RNA (1438 nucleotides) under Monodelphis domestica (gray short-tailed opossum). RNAcentral describes it as "lncRNA (ENSMODG00000032076.2)". The record is from RNAcentral. Lineage: Eukaryota; Metazoa; Chordata; Mammalia; Didelphimorphia; Didelphidae.